RNAcentral lists this ribosomal RNA (484 nucleotides) under uncultured bacterium. Its description in RNAcentral is "partial 16S ribosomal RNA". It matches the Rfam family "Bacterial small subunit ribosomal RNA", at positions 30 to 507 of the family's 1533-position model. The record is from RNAcentral.
AUUGAACGCUGGCGGCAGGCCUAACACAUGCAAGUCGAGCGGAUGAAGGGAGCUUGCUCCUGGAUUCAGCGGCGGACGGGUGAGUAAUGCCUAGGAAUCUGCCUGGUAGUGGGGGAUAACGUCCGGAAACGGGCGCUAAUACCGCAUACGUCCUGAGGGAGAACGGGGGGGAGCAUCGGACCUCACGCUAUCAGAUGAGCCGAGGUCGGAUUAGCUAGUUGGUGGGGUAAAGGCCUACCAAGGCGACGAUCCGUAGCUGGUCUGCGGGGAUGAUCAGCCACACUGAAACUGAGACAGGGUCCAGACUCCUACGGGAGGCGGCAGUGGGGAAUAUUGGACAAUGGGCGAAAGCCUGAUCCAGCAAUCCCGCGUGGGUGAAGAAGGCCUUCGGGUUGUAAAGCCCUUUUGUUGGGAAAGAAGGGCAGCAGGUUAAUACCUCGCUGUUUUGACGGUACCCAAAGAAUAAGCACCGGCUAACUUCGUG